UUGAACGCUGGCGGCAGGCCUAACACAUGCAAGUCGAGCGGAUGAGGGGAGCUUGCUCCUGGAUUCAGCGGCGGACGGGUGAGUAAUGCCUAGGAAUCUGCCUGGUAGUGGGGGAUAACGUCCGGAAACGGGCGCUAAUACCGCAUACGUCCUGAGGGAGAAAGUGGGGGAUCUUCGGACCUCACGCUAUCAGAUGAGCCUAGGUCGGAUUAGCUAGUUGGUGGGGUAAAGGCCUACCAAGGCGACGAUCCGUAACUGGUCUGAGAGGAUGAUCAGUCACACUGGAACUGAGACACGGUCCAGACUCCUACGGGAGGCAGCAGUGGGGAAUAUUGGACAAUGGGCGAAAGCCUGAUCCAGCCAUGCCGCGUGUGUGAAGAAGGUCUUCGGAUUGUAAAGCACUUUAAGUUGGGAGGAAGGGCAGUAAGUUAAUACCUUGCUGUUUUGACGUUACCAACAGAAUAAGCACCGGCUAACUUCGUG
RNAcentral lists this ribosomal RNA (483 nucleotides) under uncultured bacterium. Its description in RNAcentral is "partial 16S ribosomal RNA". It matches the Rfam family "Bacterial small subunit ribosomal RNA", at positions 30 to 507 of the family's 1533-position model. The record is from RNAcentral.